AUUGCCUCAGUAACGGCGAGUGAAGCGGCAAGAGCUCAAAUUUGAAAGCUGGCUCCUUCGGAGUCCGCAUUGUAAUUUGCAGAGGAUGCUUUGGGUGCGGCCCCCGUCUAAGUGCCCUGGAACGGGCCGUCAGAGAGGGUGAGAAUCCCGUCUUGGGCGGGGUGUCCGUGCCCGUGUAAAGCUCCUUCGACGAGUCGAGUUGUUUGGGAAUGCAGCUCUAAAUGGGUGGUAAAUUUCAUCUAAAGCUAAAUACUGGCCGGAGACCGAUAGCGCACAAGUAGAGUGAUCGAAAGAUGAAAAGCACUUUGAAAAGAGAGUUAAACAGCACGUGAAAUUGUUGAAAGGGAAGCGCUUGCGACCAGACUCGCCCGCGGGGUUCAGCCGGCAUUCGUGCCGGUGUACUUCCCCGUGGGCGGGCCAGCGUCGGUUUGGGCGGCCGGUCAAAGGCCCCUGGAAUGUAGUACCCUCCGGGGUACCUUAUAGCCAGGGGUGCAAUGCGGCCAGCCUGGACCGAGGAACGCGCUUCGGCACGGACGCUGGCAUAAUGGUCGUAAACGACCCGUCU
This 565-nucleotide ribosomal RNA is filed under the name Aspergillus niger. RNAcentral describes it as "eukaryotic LSU rRNA". It matches the Rfam family "Eukaryotic large subunit ribosomal RNA", at positions 74 to 654 of the family's 3401-position model. The record is from RNAcentral. Lineage: Eukaryota; Fungi; Ascomycota; Eurotiomycetes; Eurotiales; Aspergillaceae.